This 429-nucleotide ribosomal RNA is filed under the name uncultured bacterium. RNAcentral's name for it is "bacterial SSU rRNA". It matches the Rfam family "Bacterial small subunit ribosomal RNA", at positions 355 to 776 of the family's 1533-position model. The record is from RNAcentral.
UAGGGAAUAUUGGACAAUGGGCGAAAGCCUGAUCCAGCCAUGCCGCGUGAGUGACGAAGGUCUUCGGAUUGUAAAACUCUUUUCUGAGGGAAGAACAUCUGGGUGAGGAAAUGCUCCCAGCUUGACGGUACCUCAGGAAUAAGGGACGGCUAACUCCGUGCCAGCAGCCGCGGUAAUACGGAGGUCCCAAGCGUUGUUCGGAAUUACUGGGCGUAAAGGGAGCGCAGGCGGACAGGUUAGUCUAAAGUGGAAGCCCGGGGCUCAACCUCGGAAGGUCUUUGGAUACUGCCUGUCUUGAGUUUGUCAGAGGAAAGCGGAAUUCAGGGUGUAGCGGUGAAAUGCUUAGAUAUCCUGAGGAACACCGAUGGCGAAAGCAGCUUUCUGGGACAUGACUGACGCUGAGGCUCGAAAGCGUGGGUAGCAAACGGG